This 459-nucleotide ribosomal RNA is filed under the name uncultured bacterium. RNAcentral's name for it is "partial 16S ribosomal RNA". It matches the Rfam family "Bacterial small subunit ribosomal RNA", at positions 338 to 795 of the family's 1533-position model. The record is from RNAcentral.
CCUACGGGUGGCAGCAGUGAGGAAUAUUGGUCAAUGGGCGGGAGCCUGAACCAGCCAAGUCGCGUGAGGGACGACGGUCCUAUGGAUUGUAAACCUCUUUUGUCGGGGAACAAAGGCGUCCACGGGUGGGCGGAUGAGUGUACCCUAAGAAACAGCAUCGGCUAACUCCGUUCCAGCAGCCGCGGUAAUACGGAGGAUGCGAGCGUUAUCCGGAUUAAUUGGGUUUAACGGGUGGGUAGGCGGACAGUCAAGUUAGUGGUAAAAAUGCGGUGCUCAACGCCGAACAGCAGGUGAAACUGGCAGUCUUGAGUGGGCGAGAGGUAUGCGGAAUGCGUGGUGUAGCGGUGAAAUGCAUAGAUAUCACGCAGAACUCCGAUUGCGAAGGCAGCAUACCGGCGCCCUACUGACGCUGAGGCACGAAAGCGUGGGUAUCGAACAGGAUUAGAUACCCUUGUAGUC